This 253-nucleotide ribosomal RNA is filed under the name uncultured bacterium. Its description in RNAcentral is "partial 16S ribosomal RNA". It matches the Rfam family "Bacterial small subunit ribosomal RNA", at positions 524 to 776 of the family's 1533-position model. The record is from RNAcentral.
UACGAGAGGUCCAAGCGUUGUCCGGAUUUACUGGGCGUAAAGAGCGUGUAGGCGGCCAAGCAGGUCCGUUGUGAAAACUGGAGGCUCAACUUCCAGACGUCGACGGAAACCGUGUGGCUAGAGUCCGGAAGAGGAGAGUGGAAUUCCUGGUGUAGAGGUGAAAUUCGUAGAUAUUGGGAAGAACACCGGUGGCGAAGGCGGCCAUCUGGACCGCAACUGACGCUGAGGCGCGAAAGCGUGGGGAGCAAACAGG